This 468-nucleotide ribosomal RNA is filed under the name uncultured bacterium. Its description in RNAcentral is "partial 16S ribosomal RNA". It matches the Rfam family "Bacterial small subunit ribosomal RNA", at positions 28 to 507 of the family's 1533-position model. The record is from RNAcentral.
GACGAACGCUGGCGGCGUGCUUAACACAUGCAAGUCGAACGGGAAGGCCCUGCUCUUGUGGGGUGCUCGAGUGGCGAACGGGUGAGUAACACGUGAGUAACCUGCCCUUGACUUUGGGAUAACUUCAGGAAACUGGGGCUAAUACCGGAUAGGAGCUCCUGCUGCAUGGUGGGGGUUGGAAAGUUUCGGCGGUUGGGGAUGGACUCGCGGCUUAUCAGCUUGUUGGUGGGGUAGUGGCUUACCAAGGCUUUGACGGGUAGCCGGCCUGAGAGGGUGACCGGCCACAAUGGGACUGAGAUACGGCCCAGACUCCUACGGGAGGCAGCAGUGGGGAAUAUUGCGCAAUGGGCGGAAGCCUGAUGCAGCAACGCUGCGUGCGGGAUGACGGCCUUCGGGUUGUAAACCGCUUUCGCCUGUGACGAAGCGUGAGUGACGGUAAUGGGUAAAGAAGCACCGGCUAACUACGUG